GAGCUUUUGUUCCUUGUUGUUUUUCAUGAUUUCUUUGCAUUUAAUAGUGUUUGGAUUUUUUUUUUUUUAAUACGUUUUAAAGAGCAUUUCAGGCUGGCAAAUGGGGGGCAGAGCGACAGCCCUGCAGCCUGCGGUCCCCUCCCGUGUGUCCCAAGCACCCUGUGCAGAGGGGGCCAGGCAGGACGUGUCCCCCCCCGCGGCCACCGCCACCCCCCGCAGGGGCAGCCCCGGCUCCGCUCCCGUCCCCUCCAGGGGGCUGCAAGGCGCCGGGGGUCCGGCGACCAAACCCCGACGGCUCGUCCCUGCGGGUUUUGCCCCAAUUCCUCUCGGGGAGCCGCCUCCUCGCUCCCCCAGCCAUGGGGAAGGGGUGGUCAGGGGCUGAGGGAGCCCGAGGAGGAUCCCGGGGGCGAGCUGAGGCGUUUCGGGGCAGCCUCAGGGCAGGGGGCCGCCCGUGCUCGCCCCGUCUGGGGCUGCAAGCGGGGGGGCUCAGGCUUUGCAGACACCUCAGGACGAGGCUUUGGGGUCACCCGGCUGCGGCUCUGCCCUGCUUGGGGGGCGAGGCGGCGGAGCGGCAGCCCCAGCCCCAGCCCCGACGGCCCCGCAGCCCCGGGGGGAGCAGCGGGCUGCGAGCCCGGCCCGGCGCCGCUCGCUGGGCUCCGGCUGCCACCUGCAGGCCGCGGGCAGCAGCACCAGGCCGCGGGGAGUAACUUCGUGCCUGGCCUGGAGAAAGGCACAAACGCCCUAGGGCUGAGGGAUCGCCCCGCUGCCCGCCCCGCUGCCGUGCUCCUCGCCCCCCCCCCUGCAGCCUGGAGGGGGCGGCCAGCGAGGGCGGCUCGCAGCCCCCAGGUGCUCUGCCCUCGUCUGCCUCCCACUCCUCCCACCUUCCUCCAGCUGCUGGUGCUGCUCUUUCCUCCCACACAGCAGCUCGAAGAGGCUGGAGGAGACGGUGAGGAACAGGGGAAGCACUCGGAGGCUGGCAGCUGCCUCUGCCUGGCUUCUCCGCACAGCCCCAGCUCCCCUCCACCUCUGCAAUUCUCCUCAGGCCGCAGGGCUCACAGGGGUGGAGGAAGCGGGACACAGGGGAAGAAAGGCAGGUGCCUGGGAGCUACAGCUGGGCUCUGCGAGGAAGCCUUUGAGGAUUAA
Molecule: long non-coding RNA, 1143 nt
Filed under: Anas platyrhynchos platyrhynchos (common mallard)
Lineage: Eukaryota; Metazoa; Chordata; Aves; Anseriformes; Anatidae
Description: lncRNA (ENSAPLG00000028897.1)
Source: RNAcentral